AACGAACGCUGGCGGCAGGCCUAACACAUGCAAGUCGAACGCCGUAGCAAUACGGAGUGGCAGACGGGUGAGUAACGCGUGGGAACAUACCCCUCGGUUCGGAAUAACUCAGGGAAACUCGAGCUAAUACCGGAUACGUCCGAGGUUUUGAUCGACCUUGGAGAAAGAUUUAUCGCCGAAAGGAUUGGGCCCGCGUCUGAUUAGCUUGUUGGUGAGGUAAUGGCUCACCAAGGCGACGAUCAGUAGCUGGUCUGAGAGGAUGAUCAGCCACAUUGGGACUGAGACACGGCCCAAACUCCUACGGGAGGCAGCAGUGGGAAUAUUGGACAAUGGGCGAAAGCCUGAUCCAGCCAUGCCGCGUGAGUGAUGAAGGCC
This 375-nucleotide ribosomal RNA is filed under the name uncultured bacterium. RNAcentral describes it as "bacterial SSU rRNA". It matches the Rfam family "Bacterial small subunit ribosomal RNA", at positions 29 to 416 of the family's 1533-position model. The record is from RNAcentral.